CCAGCAGCUGCGGUAAUUCCAGCUCCAAGAGUGUAUAUUAAAGUUGUUGCGGUUAAAAAGCUCGUAGUUGGACUUGGGUUUUGUGCAUUAUGGUUCCUGGGGGUUCGCUUCCGGGGUUAACAACCGUAUGUACUGACUAUCAUGGGGCGCAAGGGCGGUGCUCACCUUCGGGGGGGUGCCGUCUGUCUUAGUGGGUUUACUUUGAAAAAAUUAGGGUGUUCAAAGCAGACGAAAUCGUCUUGAAUACAUUAGCAUGGGAUAAUAGAAUACGACCAUUGGUCAAACUUUAUUGGUUUCUGGGGCCAGGGUAAUGAUUAACAGGGACAGUUGGGGUCGCUUGUAUCCGGUGG
RNAcentral lists this ribosomal RNA (350 nucleotides) under uncultured eukaryote. Its description in RNAcentral is "SSU rRNA". It matches the Rfam family "Eukaryotic small subunit ribosomal RNA", at positions 567 to 904 of the family's 1831-position model. The record is from RNAcentral.